UGACCGGAUGACAGAUUACCUAGCUGCAUAUCCAUUUUAAUUGAGCUUGGGAGAAAAUAUUUUCGGGUGAUUACAAGAUGAUAAGUUGCGGAACGAAAUCGUGAAACUAUAAACGUCAGGCGGCUAUCAUGACUUAUCAUAUCGCAAUGUUAUGUUCUGCGAGAGGGUCGUUUAAAAUUCCAAGAUUCCGAUGCUUUUGUAUAGGUAACAUUAACUAUUUGCGUUACGGAAGCACGUAAUAUUGCAUCAGCAACGAUUAUACUGCGCAUAUAAUGCAACGAACAAUUCGUUGUUACUCAUUCUGCAUUGCUGCGCACGCAACUAUUGCAUAUAUUGUUCUUUCCGUCUAUUCGUUUUGU
This is a long non-coding RNA of Bradysia coprophila, 359 nucleotides long. The record is from RefSeq and is a predicted model, not a curated record. NCBI's taxonomy places the organism in Eukaryota, Metazoa, Arthropoda, Insecta, Diptera, Sciaridae.